UUGCCAGUUUUACUGCCUUACCAAGUGUUUCUCUCAUGAUUAUUCUGACUACUAUCUUGUGUAUAACCUUGCCUGUUUACUCUGACCAUUGUCUUUUCGGAUCAACCCUGCAUUCUGGUCUUGGCGGAGUACGCUGUAGCAGCACAAUUACUAUGACUUGCUACUGCCAAUAUUUCCACAACAUGCUGCUGCUGAGCAGGGACGGUUCUAAGCAACUGUUGGAACACUGAAUGCCACAGGUAAAAAAAGAAAAGGGUUCUCAAUGGAUAUUGCUGUUUGAAGGCUCCCCUCCUGUGGCUGAUAAUGCUUCUGCAGAUGUAAUAUUUUGUCACCUUCUCUUUCCAUACCACAGAAGAUCUGAGUUUCGCUGAUGUGGGUAUGUACACAGUUUCAUGCUUUUUAAGUUAUUAGCAUAUUAUUUAUUGGAGUACUAUGUUUUAUAUCAGUGUUUUUGAUGCAGUUGAUUGAAUUGAUGUGUUUGAAAAUGAGAAUAAUGUAUUUAACAUUUUAACAAAGUUGUUGAGAUUGUUAUAAACUUUUUGAAUUUCCUUGUGCAUCACACAAGUACAAACAAGCUGA
Molecule: long non-coding RNA, 579 nt
Organism: Puntigrus tetrazona (Sumatra barb)
Lineage: Eukaryota; Metazoa; Chordata; Actinopteri; Cypriniformes; Cyprinidae
Exons: 4
Source: RefSeq, a predicted model, not a curated record